GAUGAAGAACGUAGCAAAAUGCGAUAAGUAAUGUGAAUUGCAGAAUUCAGUGAAUCAUCGAAUCUUUGAACGCACAUUGCGCCCGCCAGUAUUCUGGCGGGCAUGCCUGUUCGAGCGUGAUUUCAACCCUCAAGCACAGCUUGGUGUUGGGACUCGCGUUAAUUCGCGUUCCCCAAAUUGAUUGGCGGUCACGUCGAGCUUCCAUAGCGUAGUAGUAAAACCCUCGUUACUGGUAAUCGUCGCGGCCACGCCGUUAAACCCCAACUUCUGAAUGUUGACCUCGGAUCAGGUAGGAAUACCCGCUGAACUUAAGCAUAUCAAUAAGCGGAGGA
This 332-nucleotide unclassified non-coding RNA is filed under the name soil metagenome. RNAcentral's name for it is "partial contains 5.8S ribosomal RNA, internal transcribed spacer 2, and large subunit ribosomal RNA". The stretch from base 1 to 120 matches the Rfam family "5.8S ribosomal RNA", at positions 35 to 154 of the family's 154-position model. The record is from RNAcentral.